GCUCACUUCGGCAGCAUAUACUAAAAUUGGAACGAUACAGAGAAGAUUAGCAGGGACCCUGCACAAGGAUGAUACACAAAUUCAUGAAGCAUUCCAUAUUUUU
Small nuclear RNA from Sciurus vulgaris (Eurasian red squirrel), 103 nucleotides. NCBI's taxonomy places the organism in Eukaryota, Metazoa, Chordata, Mammalia, Rodentia, Sciuridae. The record is from Ensembl.